Molecule: long non-coding RNA, 922 nt
Organism: Hyalella azteca
Lineage: Eukaryota; Metazoa; Arthropoda; Malacostraca; Amphipoda; Hyalellidae
Exons: 2
Source: RefSeq, a predicted model, not a curated record
GUCUUUAUAAAAAUUCCAGUAGCUUCAGCUAGUCUGUCUCUAAGUAUAUAGGGCUUAUUGAGCAAUUCUAUCAUGUAAAACAAAAAAAUUCGAAACAAACAAACAGAGCCGACUUGCUGAGAGGCCGUAAUCGGUAAGGAGUUCCUGUCAGAUCAUUCAGAAGAUGACCAUAAAAAUGAAGCUCUCUCCUCAACGAAUCCCGCUUAUGUCAAGUUUGGCCGUGACUGUAAAGAAACCCAGGAAGAUGAGCCUCACUCCAGCCUGCUGAUCGCAGCACCUAAGGCAACCGCAGAAGCUCUCUCCCACACACAAGGAAGUAUGUGUACCGCCACUGUUUCUUCCCGUCCAGCAUCUGACCGUGGAGCACUGUGGCUCAAGAUGUCGUGCGUGGUCGCCUCCACCAUCAAUGCAAUCAAAACAUCAGUGAAACUGCUGUAAUAUAGACCGUUCCAUGCUUUUAAAAAGCCAAAAUCUGUGAUGUUUUUAAAUCGUUUACACUGUCCCAGAGUAUGCUUGCGUUUCCUGGAAAGUUCCACUUGGAAGAUUUUCCAUCGAGCCAUCAUAGUUUCUACAUAAUAAUGAAGAAGCGGUUGCUAUAAAUUUAUGAGCGUUUUGGUCCUUCAUGCGCACAACAUAUUACGAGAAAACGAAACUGUUCUUAUAUGCGACUAACACGUUAUUUAUCAUGAUUCAAGUAAAAAGAUGUUCAUGCUAUGAGGGUUGUGCAGUAACAUGGCCUUCGGACAGUUAUCUCUGCAAUUGACAUGACAAUAAAAAGUUACCAUGAAUUAAACAGACCAAUUCUAGCACUUCGCUUUUAAUACAUGGUAUUAUUGUUUUGUCGUCCUGAAACGUUUUCAUACUGUAGUACGUAUAUCUCUCACGGUGGGGCCGUUGGCCAUAAUAAAUAGUACAAAGUUAA